This 484-nucleotide ribosomal RNA is filed under the name uncultured bacterium. RNAcentral describes it as "partial 16S ribosomal RNA". It matches the Rfam family "Bacterial small subunit ribosomal RNA", at positions 30 to 507 of the family's 1533-position model. The record is from RNAcentral.
AUUGAACGCUGGCGGCAGGCCUAACACAUGCAAGUCGAGCGGAUGAAGGGAGCUUGCUCCUGGAUUCAGCGGCGGACGGGUGAGUAAUGCCUAGGAAUCUGCCUGGUAGUGGGGGAUAACGUCCGGAAACGGGCGCUAAUACCGCAUACGUCCUGAGGGAGAAAGGGGGGGAUCUUCGGACCUCACGCUAUCAGAUGAGCCUAGGUCGGAUUAGCUAGUUGGUGGGGUAAAGGCCUACCAAGGCGACGAUCCGUAACUGGUCUGAGAGGAUGAUCAGUCACACUGGAAAUGAGACACGGUCCAGACUCCUACGGGAGGCAGCAGUGGGGAAUAUUGGACAAUGGGCGAAAGCCUGAUCCAGCCAUGCCGCGUGUGUGAAGAAGGUCUUCGGAUUGUAAAGCACUUUAAGUUGGGAGGAAGGGCAGUAAGUUAAUACCUUGCUGUUUUGACGUUACCAACAGAAUAAGCACCGGCUAACUUCGUG